This 292-nucleotide ribosomal RNA is filed under the name uncultured bacterium. Its description in RNAcentral is "partial 16S ribosomal RNA". It matches the Rfam family "Bacterial small subunit ribosomal RNA", at positions 28 to 295 of the family's 1533-position model. The record is from RNAcentral.
GAUGAACGCUGGCGGCGUGCUUAACACAUGCAAGUCGAACGGGGUGCCUUUGAAAGAGGAUUCGUCCAAUUGAUAAGGUUACUUAGUGGCGGACGGGUGAGUAACGCGUGAGGAACCUGCCUUGGGAGUGGGAAUAACACAGUAGAAAAUUGUGACUAAUACCGCAUAAUGCAGGUUGGGUCGCAUGACUCUGACUGACCAAAGUAUUUAUCGCUCUGAGAUCGGCCUCGCGUCUGAUUAGCUAGUUGGUGGGGUAACGGCCCACCAAGGCGACGAUCAGUAGCCGGACUGA